Molecule: long non-coding RNA, 2496 nt
Organism: Capsicum annuum
Lineage: Eukaryota; Viridiplantae; Streptophyta; Magnoliopsida; Solanales; Solanaceae
Exons: 8
Source: RefSeq, a predicted model, not a curated record
UUAUAAUUUUAACACCAUAAUUUUUAAGUGUGGUUUGAUCAUUAUACUCAAAUUUUAGACCAAAAAAUUUUUCCCUCCAUAUUUUUAUAUUCCCCCAACAUAUCAUAAUGGCAAAAUAUUUGAGCAGCCCUAAAUUUUCAACCCGAUGAAUUUUUUUUAGUUCUCUUUGCGCCAUUGUUCUGUUAACUCCUUCUCUACUGCAAUAAAAAUUUUCAAUCCGAUCGAAUUUUUGAAUUUCUCCUUGCGUCCAGUUGAUCUGUUAACUCAAUCUCGCCUGCGUUUUUCUUUGAAUCUAUCUGGACCCAGCUCCACAAGUUUCCUUUGAAUUAAGGAGUUACACGGUAUUGGGAAGCUCUCUAAGUGGCCUAUGAUUUCUAUAUUGGUAUAUUUGCGAAACUCCCCUUCCUCCCCCAAAGAAUAAUAAUCUAUUGUCAUUGAUGCGAUGUUAAUAGCAAUAGUAGUAAUACACUCUAUGUUCCACUUUACUUGUCUUGAAACUGUCCAGUAAAUUCUAUAAAAAGUAAAGGACCCAGAUUCCGGAGUUCUCAAUACAAUCGUGUUACAUUCCAGUGUUGCACUGGAUGAUGGGAAUUCACCUCUGGUCAGUGCUUCUUGAAAGAAUUGUAUGAAUUUUUAUGUUUAUGCAAAUAGGUUAACGUCACCUCCUCAUCCUAUUUUCAACUAUCACAACUUCAUAUGAGCAUCUAGCAUUGUUUUAAAGCCGCUCGAUAACAUCUCGACACUUUUAUGAUUUCAUUUAGUACUUGUGCUGGUAUUAUUGAGAAAAUAGGAAAUAAAAUGAUCUUCUACCGGUAGCUUGUAGCACCUUAGAUGUCCCAUUCUCUCAAAUAGGCAUGACAAAAGCUUAUUGCAGCAUAUUUCACUCACUACCACAAACGAGUUAUCCAGUAGUAACACUAACUUUUUUUAGAUUGUGUUUGCAAGAAAUGGAGAAGGUUUGAUUUAAGCAAAGUUGGGAUCUUCGUCUUUAUUUCCGCUUUCAAAGGUGUAUAUAUGCUGUGCAAAUGUUUGUACACAAAAAGAUCACAAAAACAAUGUCAAGAAGGCAAAAAUGUGUGGAUAAUAUGUUAUUUGUAUAGAGAAAGCAAUGAAUUCAGUUUAAAAAAAUUCAAGGAGGCCUCAAAGUUCUUCAAUGUCAUGAAGGGAAUCAUGGAGUGGUAAGGAAGUAAAAGCAGAAUAGUUCACUGAGAGGAAAGCAGCAAAAGAAGCUACAGCUGCAGCUGCGGCGGAGAAGAAGUCACCUAGGUCAUUGACAACUAUUCCUUCGGAGGCUAGCAAUGUUUCAAGGGAUGUCACUAGUCACCCUGCGAGACCCAUGUCUGACGGGCAGAAAUGUUCCGCAGGAUUGUUUCAAGGCAUCUUGAAGUUCUCACAAGUCUGUCCACUUGAAGGCAAAAUUAUCUUCUCUGGCUACUGAAACUCCAGCAGAACAAAAUGCAUCCUCACCUAGCAAUGGUUGGCUAUAUUACUUGAGGAAAGGAAUAUUUAUCCUUUGUUGAUGUAAUAUGUACAUACCUUGCAACCUUGUUUUGGAUUUCCAUGUGUCGGCUCCAUUUAGAAAUUCAGAUCUAUGCAUUUUUAUAUAAUUGCUUUAUUUUAAUCAAAUCAUAUCGUAUUGUACUUAAACAUAAAAAUCUCCCGGUCAUAUUUUAGUUGGUCUCGUGAAAUCAGUCGGGGAGUUCGCAAAUUGGCCCGGACACUACGGUUAUUAGGAAAAAAAAUAAGAAGUUUUGUAGGUUGCUGUAUGUCUUUUUUUUGUGCGUGUCUAAUAGCUGAAGUAAAAUAAGUUACCGGGCGCUUUAAGUUACCUCUCGUCUUUUGCUCCUUUUGAAUAUAACUUUUUGCUAGGUGCUUGCUGUAAGGAUGCAAAAAUCACUCUCUCUAUAUUUUCUUUUGUCUUUCCUCUCUUAUUUUCUAGAAGUUGCUGUUGGCAUUCAUUUAUUGUCCAAAACUCAAGGUGCUUACUUUUUUCAGGAUGCCAAGGCCCCAUCCAAUAUCAAAAAAUCGUGUUGUACCUGCUCACAUUGAUCCAACCUGAGUGGGCAAAUGAUGGUAUUCCAAAAAUUGAACCCAAUAGUGAUUUGCAGCAUGUUGUUGUGGUACUACUUAUGUUGAGUUAGUAAUGGUUUGUAGUUAUAUCCUUCCCCUUCUUUUAAGAUCUUUUUCACUACUUUCUUGUCAUCAGUAACAUUUGAAACAAUCUUCCACGAGACCAACUCCAAGUUAAUUUGUAUGGUGGCAUUAGGUGGAAUCCUAUUUCAAUUGGCAACGACGCAUACAUCUUGGUAAACAAUGCGGUGGAUCAAAUUUGAAUGGUGGGCGCCACAACUCAACUUGAUCUAAGAUUAAAGCGAAUGAUGAAGAAUUUUUGAAAUAUUUUGAUAUGCAUUUAUAUAUAUUUGGUUUUUUGUGGAACUUGGAACAAAUUUUUAUUAUGUUGUUUUCUAAUUAGUGUGUAAAAGACAAAUUUUUUUG